Molecule: non-coding RNA, 3510 nt
Organism: Zonotrichia albicollis (white-throated sparrow)
Lineage: Eukaryota; Metazoa; Chordata; Aves; Passeriformes; Passerellidae
Source: RefSeq, a predicted model, not a curated record
UUUCAGACACCUCUCAAGAGCUAUUUUGCUGUUCAACCUUUUCUGGAUGCCCUCAAGGUCUGGAUGCUGCCAUCCUAUACCUGUAAUGUGACCAAAAAAACCAGUUCUCCUCCUGGAGCUGUGGGACAGUUUGGCCAUAGCCUUUUUAUGUACCCACAGGAAGGUGAUGAGUCCCCACUUCCAAUCUCUCUGAUUUAUCAGCAAGGUGAGUUUCCUGCUAUGGAAAGUAGAGCAGCACAACUGCCAAAGAAGGAGGAAAAGCUCUGCAAGGAGCAGGAGGAGAAAACCCAUUUGGAUGGGGAGAGGAACGUGCCAGAAACACAGAAGUCAGAGAGCAAGAGUUGUGCUGCCUCUUAGGAGGUGAACAAUAUAAAAAAACAAUGUCAUGAUUUCAGAUAUGGAAUAGACACAGCUUAACAAACAGCUCCAUGAAAUGCAAGAAAAGAAGAGUUGUGACCUACAGAUUUGGCAAACUUAGCUGUUGCUAUUUCAGAAGAUAAAAGUGUGCAUCCAUAAGGACAAGACCUGCAAAUGGAGAGAGCGUCUCUGAGCACACUCCCUUAAUGCUGAUUUCUGCACUGGUACCAAAGCUGCAGUAAACCUGAGAGGUGAACCUGUCCUCCAUUGGAGCCUGUGGGAUUUUGCCCACUGCAAUGAAAACAAUUGAAAAGGGCACUGUAAGGAACACUAUGCUGUAAAAAUCAUAUGCUUGCUGUUCUCAGUUUUGUACCUCUCACUGGUGAUUAAAAUGAAAGACUACAAAGACUCACAUCCUGUCUUUCAUUAAGUGUUCCACUGGCUUGCUGAGCAUUGCAGAAGAGGUACAGCAUUGCCUCAGUACUGUGCCAAGUUUUUCCUCUUUGAAGAUAUCAUUAAAAACACCUCAAAGUUCCUCUGCCUCACACAAUGUUGUUUUCAGGAAUUGCUUGAGGUAAGCAGAAAUGUAACUUGGUGUUAUAAGGUGAGUCAUUAGGAAAUGAGAAAAGAGAUGAAUUAAUGUGCUGUCCAUGAAAUUAGCAUUCUGAUAAUUGUUUGGUUUGUAAUUAUAUUGGGUUUAAUCUAACAAUAAUACUAAGAAAUUGCGGGUUUUAAAACCAUCCUUUGUUUGGGGGAAAAUUUUAAUUUCUUUAAAACAAUUCAUUUGCAUCUAUGCUUUUUUAAGUUUCUUUUUUUUUUUUUUUUUUUUUGCUAAACCUCGAAUGAGCUGUUUAUACAACAAAUACAUUAACCUGGAGCAUAGUUCCAUUUCAAGAAGAAUGAAGGACAAAAUUGAAUGUGCACCGUUCCUAAGACAAUAAAGAUGGUCGAGGUUGUGGAUUACAUGAGAACUCCAAUCCAUAUUACUGAACUCCACUACUGUGAAUUCAGUAGAAAUCAAAGGAUUACACUGUAAUUAUAUCAUAUGAAAAUGAAAAUAUCAUGUGGAAAGAGGAAGAGGACCUGGAAGAGCACAUGGAAGUGGUCAGUCGUUCUUUCAGAGACAGACUCUGAACCUUUCACAGCCAUUGUCAUGGUGAGGCUGUUGGCAUGGACUGGUCUCAUGGUGUCAGUGGGAGUGGGAAAGGAUCAUAGAAUAAUGGAUUUGUGAUUCUGCACAGAAGAGUUGGGAGAGCUGGGAAGGGAAGACACCUUGAAAAAUGCAAAGUUUGAGAUGAUGUCAAGGGAAGAGAACAGUUAUGUCACUUGUGCAGAAGAGCCUUCAAAAGAAAAAAAAUCUUCACAAAAACUGCCAGAAAUACCCACAAUUUCAUUCUUAUCAUUCUGAUCAUUGAGGCUGAUUGUGAGUCAAAUCUGUAUCUGCUGAGGAAGUUAAGUGAUGCACCCUCUAAUUAAGUCUCUGCAGCACUUUCCUCCUACAUAAAUGGGCUGGUGGGUUCCUGGUUGUUCCUGUGGCCACCAGUGCAGCUGAGGGACCCAUCUGAGUGACAGAUCUCUGUGGGAGAUCCCACCUUUAAUCCCUGCCAUCAGACUCUGCUGUCGUGACUGUGACUCUGCAUGGGAAGAGCCAAUUCUCCAGGAACACAAUUUAUUUCAGUGAUGUGUUCAUGUGAUCUGAGUAAUUCUGAGGUUCUUCUCUCAACUGUUUGAGUUUGAAAAGCAAAGACAGCCAAGAGGAAAUUGUUUUGGAGAGAAGUGAUAGCCAACCUGGGAUAGCAGUCAAGGAAAUUUCAGUGGUGACACAAUUCAGUUACAAGGAGCAGGGGCAGUAGGCUCGAUGUGAAGUCCACAGAAGUGAAGGGAUAAACCCUUAUCAGCUCUGGCCCAGCCUCUGACACAGCCCUCAGAGCCACUCAGGCUGAAAGAGGUAAACUGCUACAAGAUCUUCAAGGAACAAAGACUGAUUAAGGAUAAUCUUGUAGAAAAUGUUACCUUUUUUUGGAUUAAUUUAACAUGGGAAAUACUGGGGAAGUUCCUGCAGAUCCCUAGCAAGCUGGCCCACCACCACCAUUCCCAGGUGCUGCCCUGGCCACAGGGAGGAUGUGACCUUCAGGAAUGGGUGCUUGAGACUUUUCACCUUCUAAAACUGAGAUUUAUGAUCCAGUGACUUGAACCUUUCCUCUCCAGAGUCAGAGUAAAUUUUCUUGGAGGCAAAGCACCAUUCCCAACGCAGACAGCACCAUUCCCAAGGCAGCCGUGCAGAGGGAGCAGCUUGGCCACACGGUGGAGCGUUCGGAUCUCUGCAGGGAAAACCCAAACGCUGCUGCCUGCCAGGAGCCUCCAGCAGAGAGGGAUGUUGCAGGCUCACCUUGGGCAGUGCUCGACUUAGACCACACAGAAGGGACAGGCUAAGGACCAGCAGAGAUGCAGGAACUUUACUUAAUAAAUUUCUAAUAUAUCCUCCUUAACAUAGAAGCCCUCCCAGAGUGCAUAUUAAGACAAAGCUUUUGGCAUUUGUGCAGAGUUAAGGGAACAUCUGUGUUUGUGAUGGCAGAAGAUUCAUUGUGUGAUAAUAGAAACGGAGCCUCAAAGGAAAAUCCUUUUAUUCAUGAAAAGUGCUGCAUUCAGGUGAUCCUGUAUCCACAGCCUGGUACCCCCAGCUUUCCCAAGCACAGUGUUGAUGCAAUAUCCUGGAGGGCAAGAGGAAUAAACUGAUCUCUUUGCAGACAGUAAUUUGAGGAGCUGCAUUUGUGGUUUUUUUCUUGGACAAAUGAUGAUUAUUGUUUGCUAAUGAGUUAAGCAUUGUGUACCUAAACAAUCUCCUGGGUUUUUAAUAGGAUUACUUACAUUCCUUAUGCAGUGAAUUAAGCUCAUCUGAAUUUCCUUGUCCAUUUUUUAUGAACAUCUCCUUUGUAAAGAUGUUAGCCAAUAAAUGUAAGUGAACUAAUCUUACUAUUCCAAUGCCAAACCCUUUAAAAUUAGGGUGGGAUUUUAAGCCUGGGAAAUUGAAUGGAUGUCACAAAACCCAAGGAAACCAAAAAUAGGUUUUUAUGGAUGUCUGCUCCAGAUACAUCCCACCUCUUCCAGGCUUUUGACUAGCAAGGUUGUCCCAAAUAUCACCACUCUGUAAAG